GAGGAUGUCUUCUCCCCUUAAACCAGGUCUCUUGACUCGGAGUCUUCCAAGGAUUGAUUCUGGAGUGUAAGUCAGCAAUAUGAACUUGAUGCUCAUUUUGGCCUAAAGGUGGAGUCAUGAUCUGUCCCAGGCUGAAGUACAGUGGCACGAUCAUAGCUCACUGCAGCCUCAAAGGCCUGGGCUCAACGGAUCCUUCCUCCUCAGCCUCUUGAAUAGCAGAUUUUAUACACAUCUGCAAAGUCUUUGGCCCUAUCCACCCUUCCUCUUGACUCUGCACUGGCCUUAGGCACACUGCAUGACUUUCCAGGCUGGGCCAAUAAAAGCCAUGCAGCUUCCAUUUGGUUCUCUUUGGUUGCUUGUUCAUCCCUCUGGAGAUGUUUCUUAUGAGAACCCAGAAGCCAUGCUAUAAGAAGCCACAAGGAGAGGCCAUGUAUAGAAACUCCAGUCAACAGUUCCAGAUGAACCUGUCCUUCAACACUCAGAGCCAAGCUGCCAGACAUGAUCGGCAUCAACAGAGGACCGGGACGGGAUUUUACCAUGUUGCCCAGGCUGGUCUCAAAUUCCUGAGCUAAA
This 573-nucleotide long non-coding RNA is filed under the name Homo sapiens (human). Its description in RNAcentral is "HSALNT0287458". Lineage: Eukaryota; Metazoa; Chordata; Mammalia; Primates; Hominidae. The record is from RNAcentral.